AGAAGUGAGAAUGCCGGUAUGAGUAUGCGAAAAGACAAGUGAGAAUCUUGUCCGCCGAAAAUCUAAGGGUUCCUGGGGAAGGCUCGUCCGCCCAGGGUAAGUCGGGACCUAAGCCGAGGCCGAAAGGCGUAGGUGAUGGACAACUGGUUGAAAUUCCAGUACCACCGAGAAGCGUUAUCAGCAAUGGGGAGACACAGAAGGAUAGGUUAAGCGUGCCGUUGGUUGAGCACGCCCAAGCGAGUAGGAGGUAGGGCAGGUAAAUCCGCCCUGCGAUAACUCUGAGACGUGAUGGGGAGCGAAAAUUAGUAGCGAAGUAACCGACUCCAGGCUGUCAAGAAAAGCCUCUAGCGAGCUGGCUUGGUGCCCGUACCGCAAACCGACACAGGUAGAUGGGGUGAGAAACCUAAGGCGCGCGAGAAAACCCUCGUUAAGGAACUCGGCAAAAUGGCCCCGUAACUUCGGGAGAAGGGGCGCUCAUUGCAAGAUGAGCCGCAGAGAAAAGGUCCAGGCGACUGUUUAACAAAAACACAGGUCCCUGCUAAUCCGCAAGGAGAUGUAUAGGGGCUGACACCUGCCCGGUGCUGGAAGGUUAAGAGGAGAGGUUAGCCGCAAGGCGAAGCUUUGAAUUGAAGCCCCAGUAAACGGCGGCCGUAACUAUAACGGUCCUAAGGUAGCGAAAUUCCUUGUCAGGUAAGUUCUGACCCGCACGAAAGGUGUAACGAUCUGGACACUGUCUCAACGAGGGACUCGGCGAAAUUGUAAUACCCGUGAAGAUGCGGGUUACCUGCGACAGGACAGAAAGACCCCAUGGAGCUUUACUGCAGCUUGACAUUGGAUUUUGGUAUAAAAUGUACAGGAUAGGUGGGAGACAGAGAAGCUAGGGCGCCAGCCUUGGUGGAGUCGACGGUGGGAUACCACUCUUUUUGUACUGAAGUUCUAACUAGGUCCCCUGAAUCGGGGAUUAGGACAGUAUCAGGCGGGCAGUUUGACUGGGGCGGUCGCCUCCUAAAGAGUAACGGAGGCGCCCAAAGGUUCCCUCAGCGCGGUUGGAAAUCGCGCGCAGAGUGUAAAGGCAAAAGGGAGCUUGACUGCGAGACCCACAAGUCGAGCAGGGACGAAAGUCGGGCUUAGUGAUCCGGUGGUACCGAGUGGAAGGGCCAUCGCUCAACGGAUAAAAGCUACCCUGGGGAUAACAGGCUUAUCUCCCCCAAGAGUCCAUAUCGACGGGGAGGUUUGGCACCUCGAUGUCGGCUCAUCGCAUCCUGGGGCUGUAGUAGGUCCCAAGGGUUGGGCUGUUCGCCCAUUAAAGCGGUACGUGAGCUGGGUUCAGAACGUCGUGAGACAGUUCGGUCCCUAUCCGUCGCAGGCGCAGGAAAUUUGAGAGGAUCUGUCCCUAGUACGAGAGGACCGGGAUGGACGAAUCACUGGUGUACCAGUUGUCUCGCCAGAGGCACAGCUGGGUGGCUAUAUUCGGAUCGGAUAAGCGCUGAAAGCAUCUAAGCGCGAAACCGGCCUCAAGAUGAGAUUUCCCACAGUGUAAGCUGGUAAGACCCCUGAAGGAAGAUCAGGUUGAUAGGCCGGAUGUGGAAGCACCGUGAGGUGUGGAGCUGACCGGUACUAAUCGGUCGAGGGCUUGACCUA
This 1641-nucleotide ribosomal RNA is filed under the name Desulfosporosinus acididurans. Its description in RNAcentral is "Desulfosporosinus sp. M1 Bacterial large subunit ribosomal RNA". It matches the Rfam family "Bacterial large subunit ribosomal RNA", at positions 1284 to 2925 of the family's 2925-position model. The record is from Rfam by way of RNAcentral. Lineage: Bacteria; Bacillati; Bacillota; Clostridia; Eubacteriales; Desulfitobacteriaceae.